GAAUGGCUGUCUAUAAAGUACUGAGCCAUGACACCUAAGAUGAAGGGAAUGGUAAAGCAGAGUAAUGACUCAAAGCUGCCACCGAGAGCUUCUGACUACCUUUAACUCAUUGUGGCAAAGUUGGACAUUCCAAAGAUGGCGUAGAUGAACAUGACCAGGAAGAGCAGGAGGCCGAUGUUAAACAAGGCAGGAAGGGACAUCAUCAGAGCAAAGAGCAGCGUGCGGAUCCCCUUGGCCCCUUUGAUCAGACGCAAGAUUCGACCAAUCCUGGCGAGCCGGAUCACUCGGAACAGGCACUUUUAGAGCUCAGUUUGGAUGUUUCGGAGGAACUCUCAGAGAAGCCCAUCAUUCUGCUUCUCCCAAUACUUGUGUACUCAGCUGCUGCAAUUGCAAUUGCCUGUUGGACCAAGAGGCCACACGUACAGAACUCCAUGUUGCACUCUGCAGUGGUUCCCAGCAAUGUGUGAGAAAGUCUGCCUCCCCACAUCUCAGCCAGACAGCGUCUCUCUUUUUGAUCUCCAACCAUUCUAAGCGAGCCUGGUGAAGAAAUAUCUGGUCAGAGGGAGACCAAGAACAAAGGCUCUGCCUUCAUAAAUGAAAUC
Molecule: long non-coding RNA, 602 nt
Organism: Lontra canadensis (Northern American river otter)
Lineage: Eukaryota; Metazoa; Chordata; Mammalia; Carnivora; Mustelidae
Exons: 5
Source: RefSeq, a predicted model, not a curated record